ACGAACGCUGGCGGCAUGCCUAACACAUGCAAGUCGAACGAGACCUUCGGGUCUAGUGGCGCACGGGCGCGUAACGCGUGGGAACCUGCCUUUAGGUUCGGAAUAACUCAGAGAAAUUUGAGCUAAUACCGGAUGAUGUCUUCGGACCAAAGAUUUAUCGCCUUUAGAUGGGCCCGCGUUGGAUUAGCUAGUUGGUGGGGUAAAGGCCUACCAAGGCGACGAUCCAUAGCUGGUCUGAGAGGAUGAUCAGCCACACUGGGACUGAGACACGGCCCAGACUCCUACGGGAGGCAGCAGUGGGGAAUAUUGGACAAUGGGCGAAAGCCUGAUCCAGCAAUGCCGCGUGAGUGAUGAAGGCCUUAGGGUUGUAAAGCUCUUUUACCCGAGAUGAUAAUGACAGUAUCGGGAGAAUAAGCUCCGGCUAACUCCGUG
This 432-nucleotide ribosomal RNA is filed under the name uncultured bacterium. RNAcentral describes it as "partial 16S ribosomal RNA". It matches the Rfam family "Bacterial small subunit ribosomal RNA", at positions 29 to 507 of the family's 1533-position model. The record is from RNAcentral.